Molecule: ribosomal RNA, 496 nt
Filed under: uncultured bacterium
Lineage: Bacteria
Description: partial 16S ribosomal RNA
Rfam family: Bacterial small subunit ribosomal RNA
Source: RNAcentral
GAUGAACGCUGGCGGCGUGCCUAAUACAUGCAAGUCGAGCGAACAGAUGAGGAGCUUGCUCCUCUGACGUUAGCGGCGGACGGGUGAGUAACACGUGGAUAACCUACCUAUAAGACUGGGAUAACUUCGGGAAACCGGAGCUAAUACCGGAUAAUAUAUUGAACCGCAUGGUUCAAUAGUGAAAGACGGCUUUGCCGUCACUUAUAGAUGGAUCCGCGCCGCAUUAGCUAGUUGGUAAGGUAACGGCUUACCAAGGCAACGAUGCGUAGCCGACCUGAGAGGGUGAUCGGCCACGCUGGAACUGAGACACGGUCCAGACUCCUACGGGAGGCAGCAGUAGGGAAUCUUCCGCAAUGGGCGAAAGCUUGACGGAGCAACGCCGCGUGAGUGAUGAAGGUCUUCGGAUCGUAAAACUCUGUUAUUAGGGAAGAACAAAUGUGUAAGUAACUAUGCACGUCUUGACGGUACCUAAUCAGAAAGCCACGGCUAACUACGU